RNAcentral lists this RNase P RNA (335 nucleotides) under Bacillota bacterium. Its description in RNAcentral is "Firmicutes bacterium (anaerobic digester metagenome) RNase P RNA component class A". It matches the Rfam family "Bacterial RNase P class A". From Rfam's summary of the family: Ribonuclease P (RNase P) is a ubiquitous endoribonuclease, found in archaea, bacteria and eukarya as well as chloroplasts and mitochondria. Its best characterised activity is the generation of mature 5'-ends of tRNAs by cleaving the 5'-leader elements of precursor-tRNAs. The record is from RNAcentral. Lineage: Bacteria; Bacillati; Bacillota.
UAAGUGAAUCGGGUGAUCGCGGGAGUAAUCCUGAGGAAAGUCCGAGCUCCAUAGGGCAGGAUGCUGGGUAACGCCCAGUGGGGGUAACCCUAAGGAAAGUGCCACAGAAACAAACCGCCUAAUUUUUAGGUAAGGGUGAAAAGGUAAGGUAAGAGCUUACCAGCAACUAGGUGACUAGUUGGCUAGGCAAACCCCAUCCGGAGCAAGGCCGAAUAGAAGAGUAGGAGCUGCCCGUUCCGUUGACUCUUGGGUUGGCCGCUUGAGGUAUUAGGCAACUAAUACCCUAGAUAGAUGAUCAUCCAAGACAGAACUCGGCUUAUAGAUUCACUUAACAA